AGGAUUUAUGGUCAAGCUACUAAGGGCAGACGGUGGAUGCCUUGGCACUGAUAGGCGAUGAAGGACGCGGAAAGCUGCGAAAAGCUUCGGGGAGCCGCUAACAGGCUUUGAUCCGGAGGUAUCCGAAUGGGGAAACCCACCUGGGGUUAUGCUCAGGUAUUAUGAAGUGAAUACAUAGCUUCAUGAGGCGAACGCAGGGAACUGAAACAUCUAAGUACCUGUAGGAGAAGAAAUCAAUUGAGAUUCCGUUAGUAGUGGCGAGCGAACGCGGAAAAGCCCAAACCAUGGCACUUGUGUCAUGGGGUUGUGGGGCCCCGACAUGGGAUUGAGGAGAGAUAGUAGAACGGCAUGGAAAGGCCGACCAUAGACGGUGAGAGUCCGGUAUACGAAAUUUCAAAUCACCCUAGGGUGUCCCCGAGUACCACGAGGCACGUGAAACCUAGUGGGAAUCCGGGAGGACCAUCUUCCAAGGCUAAAUACUCAUCAGUGACCGAUAGUGAACCAGUACCGUGAGGGAAAGGUGAAAAGUACGGGGGGACCCGAGUGAAAUAGUACCUGAAACCGUCUGCUUACAAGCGGUAGGAGCACGAUGUCGUAAGACCGUGUGACUGCGUGCCUUUUGCAUAAUGAGUCAACGAGUUACCCUAUGCAGCGAGGUUAAGCCGAGAGGUGUAGCCGUAGCGAAAGCGAGUCUUAACAGGGCGAAUAGUUGCAUGGGGUAGACCCGAAACCGGGUGAUCUAUCCAUGGCCAGGGUGAAGCGAAGGUAACACUUCGUGGAGGCCCGAACAGGUGUAGGUUGAAAACUGCUCUGAUGAGCUGUGGAUAGGAGUGAAAGGCUAAUCAAACUCGGUGAUAGCUGGUUUUCUCCGAAAUAUAUUUAGGUAUAGCCUCGCACGAUGACUGACGGAGGUAGAGCACUGACUGGACUAGGGGGUCUUACCGACUUACCAACCCCAAUCAAACUCCGAAUGCCGUCAAGCUCAAAUGCGGGAGUCAGACUACGGGAGAUAAGUUCCGUGGUCGAAAGGGAAACAGCCCAGACCGACAGCUAAGGUCCCAAAAUACAUGCUAAGUGGUAAAGGAUGUGGAACUGCCCAGACAACCAGGAGGUUGGCUUAGAAGCAGCAACCCUUUAAAGAUAGCGUAAUAGCUCACUGGUCGAGUGGGUCUGCGCCUAAAAUUUAACGGGGCUCAAGCAUGUUACCGAAGCUUCGGAUCGAAUUUAUUCGAUGGUAGGAGAACAUUGUAGCGCCGUAGAAGGUAUAUCGAAAGAAGUGCUGGAGGUUCUACAAGAGCUUAUGUUGACACGAGUAGCGAAAAUGCGGGUGAGAAACCCGCACGCCGAAAACCUAAGGUUUCCUGAAGUCAAGUUAAUCUGCUCAGGGUUAGUCGACCCCUAAGGCGAGGCCGAGAGGCGUAGUCGAUGGGAAACAGGUUAAUAUUCCUGUACUAGUGUGAUAAUGUUUGAGCGAAGGGGGGACGCAGAAGGGUAGGCCAUCCGGGUGUUGGACGUCCCGGUUUAAGCGUGUAGGUGGGGGAUCCAGGCAAAUCCGGAUCCCUGUACAACACUGAGGCGUGAUGACGAAGGUCCCAGUAGGGACCGCAAAGUGGUUGAUCCCAGGCUGCCAGGAAAAUCCUCGUAGUGAGUUAUCAGAUUAAUCGUACCGUAAACCGACACAGGUAGGUAGGGAGAGUAUCCCAAGGCGCUUGAGAGAACUCUGGUUAAGGAACUCGGCAAAUUAACACCGUAACUUCGGAAGAAGGUGUGCCAUCAUAAUGUGAAGCGACUUGCUCGUGGAGCAGAAGGUGGUUGCAGAGAAACGGGGGGAGCGACUGUUUACUAAAAACACAGGACUCUGCGAAGUCGAAAGACGCAGUAUAGGGUCUGACGCCUGCCCGGUGCCGGAAGGUUAAGGGGACUUGUUAGUCGCAAGGCAAAGCAAUGAACCGAAGCCCCGGUAAACGGCGGCCGUAACUAUAACGGUCCUAAGGUAGCGAAAUUCCUUGUCGGGUAAGUUCCGACCUGCACGAAUGGCGUAACGACUUCCGCACUGUCUCAACCAGGGACUCAGCGAAAUUGUAUUGGCGGUGAAGAUGCCGUCUACCCGCGAAAAGACGGAAAGACCCCGGCACCUUUACUAUAGCUUGACAUUGGAUUUUGAACUAGUAUGUGUAGGAUAGGUGGGAGACUUUGAAGCCGGGACGCCAGUUCCGGUGGAGUCGCCCUUGAAAUACCACCCUUGCUAUUUUAGGGUUCUAACUUCGACCCAUGAACUGGGCGAAAGACAGUGUCUGGUGGGUAGUUUGACUGGGGCGGUCGCCUCCCAAAGAGUAACGGAGGCGCGCGAAGGUUCCCUCAGGCUGAUUGGAAACCAGCCGUAGAGUGUAAAGGCAUAAGGGAGCUUGACUGCGAGAGAGACAUUUCGAGCAGGUACGAAAGUAGGUCUUAGUGAUCCGGCGGUUCUGAAUGGAAGGGCCGUCGCUCAACGGAUAAAAGGUACGCCGGGGAUAACAGGCUUAUCGCCCCCAAGAGUUCACAUCGACGGGGCGGUUUGGCACCUCGAUGUCGGCUCAUCACAUCCUGGGGCUGGAGAAGGUCCCAAGGGUCGGGCGUUCGCCGAUUAAAGUGGCACGCGAGCUGGGUUCAGAACGUCGUGAGACAGUUCGG
RNAcentral lists this ribosomal RNA (2670 nucleotides) under Desulfobulbaceae bacterium DB1. RNAcentral describes it as "bacterial LSU rRNA". It matches the Rfam family "Bacterial large subunit ribosomal RNA". The record is from RNAcentral. Lineage: Bacteria; Pseudomonadati; Thermodesulfobacteriota; Desulfobulbia; Desulfobulbales; Desulfobulbaceae.